Long non-coding RNA from Oncorhynchus mykiss (rainbow trout), 848 nucleotides. RefSeq lists it as uncharacterized. The record is from RefSeq and is a predicted model, not a curated record. Lineage: Eukaryota; Metazoa; Chordata; Actinopteri; Salmoniformes; Salmonidae.
GUGCGCAGUCAAUUAUUCUCCAAAAUACCGAAUGUGAAAGCGCACUUUCAAAAUUAGCUAAUGCACGAGUCAAGACACAUUUAGCUAUUAUGACAAAUCAAACAAUAUAGUUGGGUAAAUCUAACUAGAUAGACAAUCGAUCUGGUGAUGUAGUUCAGAGCUAAACAAACUUUGGGCUCCUUGAGAUUUUCGUCCUUACAAAUGCAGCUAAUGAAAGGGCGAGGCAAGCCGCGAGUCCUCAGCGGUCAUCCCUGUCCGUGCAAACCGGAUGGAUGGAACCUGUGACGCAUAGAGUCAAUAUGUUUAGAAAAUCUGUGAACUCGGAACCAAGCUGCAUUAUGCCAGUCUACCAGAAGGAGGCAGAAGCAAGCACGAGAACUGGAAGACUUACAGACAGAUCACACAGACAGAGCUAUUGCAUUCUGGUACACCAGAAGUACAUUCAUUUCCACACGCCUUGAUCACACCGACAGUUUUGGCAUUCUGGUACACCAGAAGCACAUUCAUUUCCAAUGGAACGCUGCGUUUGCUUUGCAGCAUUGCGUUGCAGAGGCAGUUGCAGUGCAUUAUGUGUGAGGCAUACGUUAUGCAUCAAACUGUAUGUGUAGAAGGAUUGCCAGAAAUGGUAGCAAAGGGUGAAUGUUGAACUUUUAUUGCACACAUAUCCAGAUGAUACUGCGUACCAUUUUGAGUAUGUCUCUCUCGGUGUGAUCGAGGCAUUAGGUCGUGUACCCCUGCUCAGACAUAGCAUGCAUCAACCAAUUGUUGUGUUGCACGUCAUUGACUGAGUCAUCAAGUGACAGUUUGAUAUAACAUAUGAUGUGGUUAGUUGAUAUGUAAAAUACCCA